Molecule: long non-coding RNA, 241 nt
Filed under: Homo sapiens (human)
Lineage: Eukaryota; Metazoa; Chordata; Mammalia; Primates; Hominidae
Description: HSALNT0187466
Source: RNAcentral
CAAGUCCAACACUAUCAAAUUAUAAAGAAGAAUUUCAGUAGCAGCUCGGAUUACAACCUCACUCACUCCACUGAGCCACUCUGAGUAUUGCAAAACACUUAUAGGAUGCAGGUAUUGCUAGGUCUGUUGUCGUCUGGAUGAUUAUAGCACAAGUGAAACAGAAGACUAAGAGAUUUGAAGGCGUUAAUGCUGGAAAUAGUGAUGGAUAGUCACUAUAUUUCUGAGCUAGGGAAGAAAAUGA